AUGAACGCUAGCUACAGGCUUAACACAUGCAAGGUCGAGGGGCAGCAGGGCAAUAGCUUGCUAUGUGCUGGCGACCGGCGCACGGGUGAGUAACGCGUAUCCAACCUACCCCGCGGUCAGGGACAGCCCGGCGAAAGUCGGAUUAAUACCUGAUGCAGUCAGAAGAGGGCAUCUGAUUUUGACGAAAGAUUUAUCGCCUCGGGAUGGGGAUGCGUAGGAUUAGGCAGGCGGCGGGGUAACGGCCCACCGCGCCGACGAUCCUUAGGGGUUCUGAGAGGAAGGUCCCCCACACUGGUACUGAGACACGGACCAGACUCCUACGGGAGGCAGCAGUGAGGAAUAUUGGUCAAUGGGCGCGAGCCUGAACCAGCCAAGUAGCGUGCCAGGACGACGGCCCUAUGGGUUGUAAACUGCUUUUAUGCGGGGAUAAAGUGCGGCACGUGUGCCGUUUUGUAGGUACCGCAUGAAUAAGGACCGGCUAAUUCCGUGCCAGCCGCUGC
Molecule: ribosomal RNA, 500 nt
Filed under: uncultured bacterium
Lineage: Bacteria
Description: bacterial SSU rRNA
Rfam family: Bacterial small subunit ribosomal RNA
Source: RNAcentral